This 70-nucleotide transfer RNA is filed under the name Stenotrophomonas maltophilia. RNAcentral's name for it is "tRNA-Val". Lineage: Bacteria; Pseudomonadati; Pseudomonadota; Gammaproteobacteria; Lysobacterales; Lysobacteraceae. The record is from RNAcentral.
GGCGGUACAGGGUUCGAACCUGUGACCCCUACCAUGUCAAGGUAGUGCUCUACCGCUGAGCUAACCGCCC